GACGAACGCUGGCGGCGUGCUUAACACAUGCAAGUCGAACGGAAGGGCCCUGCUUUUGUGGGGUGCUCGAGUGGCGAACGGGUGAGUAACACGUGAGUAACCUGCCCUUGACUUUGGGAUAACUUCAGGAAACUGGGGCUAAUACCGGAUAGGAGCUCCUGCUGCAUGGUGGGGGUUGGAAAGUUUCGGCGGUUGGGGAUGGACUCGCGGCUUAUCAGCUUGUUGGUGGGGUAGUGGCUUACCAAGGCUUUGACGGGUAGCCGGCCUGAGAGGGUGACCGACCACAUUGGGACUGAGAUACGGCCCAGACUCCUACGGGAGGCAGCAGUGGGGAAUAUUGCACAAUGGGCGGAAGCCUGAUGCAGCAACGCCGCGUGCGGGAUGACGGCCUUCGGGUUGUAAACCGCUUUCGCCUGUGACGAAGCGUGAGUGACGGUAAUGGGUAAAGAAGCACCGGCUAACUACGUG
This 468-nucleotide ribosomal RNA is filed under the name uncultured bacterium. RNAcentral's name for it is "partial 16S ribosomal RNA". It matches the Rfam family "Bacterial small subunit ribosomal RNA", at positions 28 to 507 of the family's 1533-position model. The record is from RNAcentral.